AAAAUGCGAUAAGUAAUGUGAAUUGCAUAAUUCAGUGAAUCAUCGAAUCUUUGAACGCACAUUGCGCCCGCCAGUAUUCUGGCGGGCAUGCCUGUUCGAGCGUCAUUUCAACCCUCAAGCCCCCGGGUUUGGUGUUGGGGAUCGGGCUGCGGUUCUACCGCGUCCCGGCCCCGAAAUCUAGUGGCGGUCUCGCUGCAGCCUCCAUUGCGUAGUAGCUAACACCUCGCAACUGGAACGCGGCGCGGCCAAGCCGUUAAACCCCCAACUUCUGAAUGUUGACCUCGGAUCAGGUAGGAAUACCCGCUGAACUUAAGC
RNAcentral lists this unclassified non-coding RNA (315 nucleotides) under plant metagenome. RNAcentral describes it as "partial contains 5.8S ribosomal RNA, internal transcribed spacer 2, and large subunit ribosomal RNA". The stretch from base 1 to 105 matches the Rfam family "5.8S ribosomal RNA", at positions 50 to 154 of the family's 154-position model. The record is from RNAcentral.